Long non-coding RNA from Sphaerodactylus townsendi, 347 nucleotides. RefSeq lists it as uncharacterized. NCBI's taxonomy places the organism in Eukaryota, Metazoa, Chordata, Lepidosauria, Squamata, Sphaerodactylidae. The record is from RefSeq and is a predicted model, not a curated record. The transcript is spliced from 3 exons.
UGGGGGGCAGCAGACCCAGGGUAAGCAAUGAAGAAGGGAAGACUGGGCGGGAUGGGUUUGGGGCCGGCUGGAUGGCGUGUGCCCUUGCACUUUUGCAGUUGGAAUUUGGACAGAACUGGCAUUUUUCUGAGCCUGCAGUGCUUCGGAGGAGGGAAAUAUUAAAUCGGCGCCGUUUUGUUGGGGUGGAUUCUAUGAACUGAAGUUACCUGCUGCCCAGCUGUUGCCUUGGCUUUCUGGCCAUGAAAAAAAGCCGCAAUGGAAAAAGUCAAGGGGCUUGCAGCAGAAAUUCGAAGCGCUUAUGCGCCGUGCUGCCAAGUGCUGGUUUAAGGGAUGAACGCGCAGCCUUG